RNAcentral lists this ribosomal RNA (408 nucleotides) under Prionailurus bengalensis (leopard cat). Its description in RNAcentral is "partial 16S ribosomal RNA". It matches the Rfam family "Bacterial large subunit ribosomal RNA", at positions 2274 to 2823 of the family's 2925-position model. The record is from RNAcentral. Lineage: Eukaryota; Metazoa; Chordata; Mammalia; Carnivora; Felidae.
UUGGGGUGACCUCGGAGAACAAAACAACCUCCGAGUGAUUUAAAUCUAGACUAACCAGUCAAAAGUAUUACAUCACUUAUUGAUCCAAAAACUUGAUCAACGGAACAAGUUACCCUAGGGAUAACAGCGCAAUCCUAUUUCAGAGUCCAUAUCGACAAUAGGGUUUACGACCUCGAUGUUGGAUCAGGACAUCCCGAUGGUGCAGCAGCUAUCAAAGGUUCGUUUGUUCAACGAUUAAAGUCCUACGUGAUCUGAGUUCAGACCGGAGUAAUCCAGGUCGGUUUCUAUCUAUUAAAUAGCUUCUCCCAGUACGAAAGGACAAGAGAAGUAAGGCCCACUUUACCAAAGCGCCUUCAACCAAAUAGAUGAUAUAAUCUUAAUCUAGACAGUUUGUCCAAUCACAUUACC